RNAcentral lists this long non-coding RNA (7089 nucleotides) under Mytilus galloprovincialis (Mediterranean mussel). Lineage: Eukaryota; Metazoa; Mollusca; Bivalvia; Mytilida; Mytilidae. The record is from RNAcentral.
AUUUAGCACAAUGGGGAAAAAAACUAGUGAAUAAAUAAUUGAUUUUAAGUUAUUUAUAACACCUAGAAGUUUAAAACGGUAGGUUAUUUAUUCAUGUAAAUCUUGCAACUGAUUAAUGUAAAUAUCACCAUUUAUACAGAUUUGUACUUUAAGAAAACAUGUGAAAAUGAUUUGAUUGACUGUUGGAUCAUUGGUUAAUUUCCAGUGGAUUAUGUUUUAUACUAAUUGAGGCGAUAUAAUGGGUUAAUAGUUUAUGCGGAGCGGAAUGUACUUCACUAGAGCGAGACACUACACAAGUCAAAUAUUUAUAUUCUCUCGCACAAGGGGAUUUUGCACUGGAACACAUUUCAACCUUUCGUGACGUCUAGGGGUAUGUUAAUAAUGCAUAAAAAAGAGACAUCACAUGAUGUGUAUAUAAGAAAUUAUUUAAAUAAACAACUUGUUGUAAUAAACCGACACGCAACAUGAAUCUGAUUUAAAACAUGCAAUUCAACAAGGUAAUAGCUCACUGUAAGAAAUUUCAACCUGUUUCGAUACGUUUACGUUAAACACUUAAUAUUUCAUACAUAUCCUAGACGACAAAAUAUAAACAUGAAAGGUACAUUCGGAAUAGUUAUGGCGCCCCCAGAGGCUUGUCAACGUGCUAUCGCACAAUCAAUCUCCGUCACAGAGUUAUAUUCUUUCGUAAAUGCUUCGCAAGACUUCACUUAAUAAUCGAAUAUUUUCUUCAUGUGCCCCUUUUUAUAAUUAAACAUCUCAAAACAGAUAUGUGUGAUCUAACUACUUCAUUAUUCUAUUUUAGAAAUUGAAGUCAAAUGAUUGAUUGUUUAAAGUAUCCAUGGCCACUGUCGUAUACAUCAAAUUUAUAACAAUUGUGAAACCUUUUCAAAUAAUUUCCCAUGAAACUAUUUCAAUGAGUUUUAAAAUUAAUACUGCAAAAAUACACACUGCAUACAUUCAUCAAUAAAUAAAAAUAAUAAUUAUACUCUUACAUCUAAUCACAGCGCUUCAUAGUUGAUUUUCAACACGCGCCUUGGGAACAUAUAAGACCAACCUAAAACCAAGAAAAUGUAACGAAAUUUAGAUUGGAACGGAUAUGAACUAUGUGUCGGUGAUUGUCUUGAACGGCAAACGGUCACUGCAAGACAUUUAACCUACCCGGACAGUUCUUGUCGUCCAGAGGUAAAAUGUCAUGUAUAUUCAAGACUACAUAAUAUUAUUAUACCUUGUGGUUUACUAGAUCGAUACACUACACACAUUUAAAACCACUUAUCUUUGUGUGAAACUGAACAAACCAUCAUGGAGUACUUUUCUCAUCAAAAUGGAACACAUAUACUUGUGUGGGUAACAGUCACUUGAAGACAUAUAUAUAUAACCGAAAAUAUUAUGGCGUCUCACAAACCAAAUUUUUGCGCUGAUUGUAUCAACCAAUACAAAAUCGAACUGGAAUCUUAAAUUGUAUUACAAGUGUUGCAGUUUGUUACAAAUUGAACUUAAACUGUAUCAUUUUUGUUAUUUACUAUAGCUGAUGAACCGAUGAAUCAGCAAGUCAGAACAGAAGUGAAAGACAAGAAAGCCAGCACGAGUGAAUGAUGUUCGACAUUUUUUCAUUCAACUUUUCUGAAAGUUUCGUUGAAAAUGUACAUCUGUCCUGCAUAUUACUUUUUCUGGUUUUGGGAAUGCUCAUUCUUAUAUUAUUUCUAUCGACAUUCUUAAAGUAUGACCACACAAAUUCACACAGUUUAUUCCUCGCUUUGUUUAUCGGAUUCAUUCAGCAAAGUUUUGUGUCAAUGAACUGGCUAAAAUCAACAUAUCAUCUAGAUGGAAUUACUGAGUUCGUGUUCGAUUGGUACACUUUUCCUGUUGCCUGUUUUAUAUUAACUUUUGGAGUGGUGUGCAUGACUGAAAUUUCAAAAGAGGAGUUUAGAACAAAAAUAUAUCAAAAUGGAGUUUUCAUUUCAACGGUUUUGUUGCUAGUUUUUGGAAUUGGUCUUUACGGUUUCAAUAACCAAGAUGCAAAUUAUAGCCAAGUAAAGUUUAACAAACCUGAAUUAGGCAAUAUAAUAACAAUCGUGAGUUAUGCUUUAGAAUAUGUGUUAGUUUAUGCUCCACUUACUGUGAUUCUGCUCUGGAACAUGAAGGGAUGUGUUCUCAUUAAAGAUCAAAAAGGUAAAUAUAUGUCAAUUUCUUUAUACGUAUAUAUAUGAAGGUCUAGAUGGUACAUAGCUACUUUUGUACAAGUAAUCUUGAUGAACAAUUAUAAGGAUGCAUAUAAAAUAUACAUCUGUAAAACUGUAUAUAAACUGUACAUCUGUAAAGCUGUAUAUAAACUGUGGAUAGAUAUCGUAUAACACAAGGUGUAGUGGUAGUAGCUAUAUUUUAAACUUAUACACAGAUUUAAAAAUGUGCAGUAAAUGUACAUUUUUACAGAGUGGCAGUUUAUAUAUGUUACAGUGAAUUUGUAUAAUCAGGGAUUAUGUAGAAUCCCUAAAAUUUUCAGGGAUUAUGUAUAAUCACUGGUUAGUUAGGGAUUAUAUAUAAUCACUACAAUUUUCAGGGAUUAUGUAUAAUCACUAGAAAAAAACGUCAGGGAUUAUACAGAAUAACUGAAAUGAUACUAAGAUAUAUAACGGUGUCUUCCCAUUUCUCCAACUUUUAUUUUUUUUUAUUUUUGUUAAUUAUUGGGUUGUUUGUUUAGUAAAAAUAAGGUGUCUUUCUAAAAUUUGACAGUAAAUUUGUUCCUGUAUGUUUUAUAUUAUUUAAAAUAUAUAUAUAUUACAUUAAUGUAAACAUUCAUAAGAUUGUCAAUUCUAUCCCGAAUUUGUCAAUUAAAACAGCAAAAGACGUAGAAAUAUCUGAAUGUUUUGGUAUUUGAGCAAGUGUAAAAUCAUUUGUUCCCCGCACAAUUGCUAUACCGACCAGAAACUUAACAUUUUACCACACUAGAGAGACAAAAGUCAAUAAUUUUCUUCAGUUUUACCGGUUUAAGGAAAGUAAGACAAUAUUAAAACAUGAGGGAGAAUACAAAAACUAUGACCUUAAGUUAAGUUAUUUAAUAUUAUAUAAAUCUACCGAAGUUAAGUUAAGCUAAAGUUAUUUAAUAUUAUAUAAAUCAACCGUCGUUGCACGUGACUCGUACCGUUGCCCGGUCUGAUUGCAUAGAAUUAGAUAUCUGCAUCGUUAGAGAGAGCCUUAUCCCCACUGCUACCGGGGUUAUCAUUAUCAAUUGGCAAAUCAAGCCAUUUAAACUGUACUUUGAAAAUGAUUGAAAUAUAUGAAAUAAGUCAUUAAAAAUCUUGAUAAAACUAAAGGGGGUCUCAACACUUGCAGGUGUGUGUAGCUCACAGCUUAAGGAUAUGAGGAAAAGUAAAUGUGUUUUAUAAAUCACAAGUCUACUACCAAUAAUUAUGCACACUUUUUAGAAUUUCGUAAAAUUUUCGUUUGUGUACCUUUUCUCAUGGACUGGCUCAUAUCAGACUAAUACCCUUAAUAUUGUAUAACGGUAGGCAUAAUAUAUUAAUAUGAAAGACACAAAAAUAUUUAAAUGAUAAACACAAUAUAAUUAAAUGAUAAGCACAAUAUAAUUAAAUGAUAAGCAAAAUAUAUAUUGAAUAAUUGAUGUUUUGUUUUUAAUACUGACUUUAUCAGCAAUAAUAUCAAGCGAGCCCUUUUUUGAUAUUUACUGUAUCAGUAUUAAUAAUAUCAAGCGAGCCCACAAGGGCGGGUUGAUGAAGUUAGUAUUAAAAUAUUAACAUGAUUAAAUGGCAUAAUGAUACAUUUUUUUAUCGUAUUGUUUUAGCAAUUGUUUUUAGGUUGAGAUAUGGAUUAAACUGAAAUUGUCAUCAAAACUAUUUUUACGCGUACAAUCUUUUUGAUAAAUGUUAAUUUUAUGCACAAUAUUUUAAAAAUAAACAUUUUAUUUACAAACUAGAUUUGGAUGGCAUCGACACAUUUGUCCUGGUUUUUUUACAUGUAUAUCUAUUAAAUUUAUAUUUGUUUUUACCACAAUAUCAACAUUUAAAAAACCUUGUCCUCCAUAUCCAAUCAUAUUUUACGAGGGGGGGGGGGGGCAAGGGGGUCCCAAUAACAGCAAAACAGUAAAUUGAUUUGGCUUAAAACAGAUAACAAGGAAUUGAAAAGGGAUAAUAACAGAUAACAGUAAAUGAAAUCUUAAAAUCAGUCCUGUCCAGGACCUAUACAGUAGAUCUUAUUAUAUAACUGGCUGUAUGGACCUAGCUAUAGGCUUUAACAGAGACAUAUAUAUAUACAUUUUAAUUACAAUCCUUAUCAGGUAUCCUUGGCCACAUGUUUCCCUUUUUGUUAUUUUAAUUAUUGAUUUGAAUUUGAUAUACAUGUACACUUAGGAAACACAAAGAACAUUACCCCAGGCCAUAUAUACGUAAAACUCAAAUUCGAACAAUAUCACAAAAAAGGAAUCAUAUGGCUAGGGAUACCUGAUGAUGAUAGGCCUAGGUCCAUACGACCUCAACAGAAUCACCUUUUAUAUAUUGUUCACAAGUUUAUUAUGAUUUGUACCAAAAAAAUACAUACAAAUUUCGACAUAAAAUCACUUAAAACUAAACAAAAUUACUAAUUUCUGUGUUUGUUAAAGAAAUAUUUAAUAAAAACAAAUAUUUUUCGGGGGAGGCUAGGAUGAAAAAUUGUGUCCUGCAUUUUAUUUUUUUUUUUUGUAAUAUCUGUCCUGCUUAUUUAUUUUUCACUCUAUUUGGUCAAGCAAUUUCUUUUAGUUUAAUAUCGUCAUUUUUUUUACAUAAAGUGUCUCAUCCUGCCUUUUUUUACUCACCCCUCCCCUACCUAUAAAUAAAAUGGUAGCUCCUUAAUAGAAAUAGGCUGAAAUUGAGAAUUUGGAUGAUGGUUAUGGUUAUUUGUACAAGUUAUAAUUUGUACAACAAAUGUGUACAAAGUUAAAAUACAUAUGAUGGGGUGUAUGUUACUGGAAUCCUGCAAAUACGUGACUUCCAUAUCACCAGUGGAAUGACCACAAUAGAUAUAAAAGAUGUGGUAUAAGUGCCAAUGAGACAACUCUCAAACCAAGUCACAAUGUUCAAUUAUCUUCAAUUUCUACUUAAGAUUGGCUGUCAAAAUGCUAACCUUCCAAUUUUCAAUAACAGUUAACAAUAAAUACAAUCUCACAAUAACAGAUAACAAUACAAACAAUAGUCCCAUAACAGCUAACAAGGAAUAUGACAAUAACAGCUAACAGCAAAUAAAUUUUCAGAAUAACAGAUAACAAAGAAUUAAAUAACCCCAUAACAGGAUAACAGUUAAACCCCUUGCCCCCCUCUUUUACGGCACGUCUCAGAGAAAUAGAGUUUUCAGCACAAACAUCUGAAGGUACCAAUGAAGGGAAAUCAGCAACCUCAAACUGAUUUCUUGUAUUAAAGAUCCGAGCAGGAGUCCAUUGCUAUAUGGCAAGGAUCUGCCUUUCCUGGAACCACUUGUGGAAUUGGUUUGAGAUAUAUGUUGUUUUUCCUCUGCAAUUUGCAUUAACUUUUGAGCAUACGUUUUUCUUCAACCCAAGCAACACCUGUGCCUGUGCCGAGCUUAUUUGUUAGCAGCAUAAUGAGGUUCAACACUUGGACAAAAUAUAAAGGAAAAAAUCAUCACUUAACAAUCAAAUAGUAGAUCAAGAAUGAAAACUGCAUGUUUACUUAAACUUUCAAGGAAUAAGAAAAAAAUGAUAAUUUGUCUAUGUUAAUUUGUUUCAUCAUCUUUGGAGCUUUUAAUUAUUGAUAAUCACUGAAAUCAUACUAGGGAAUUUGUAGAAUACUAAUUAAAAUUAUCAGUGAUUAUGUGAAAUCACUGGUAAUUUUCAGGGAAUCUGUAUAAUCACUAAUGAUUUUAGUGAUUCUACAUAAUCCCUGAAAAAUCAGGGAUUCUACAUAAUCACUGAUUAUACAAAUUCACUGUAACAUAUACACCUUUAAAAAUGUACAGUUUAUAUACAGUUUUACAGAUGUAUAGUUUAUCUACAGCUUAACAUAUGUAGUUUAUAUACCUCUUUAUAGAUGUACAGUUCUUAUACAGUUUUACAGCUAUACAGUUUAUAGACAGCUUUACAGAUGUACAUUUAAUAUGCAUCUCCAGAACUGUUCAUCAAGAUUACUUGUUCUAAAGUAGCUGUGAACCAUCUUAAUGUUUUUCAAAUACAAUUAAAAAAAGAAGAGAAAAGUAACGGAAACGUUCUUGUGUUUCUUUAUACAUGAAAACAAGGUAAAUAAAGGCAACAGUAGUAUACCGUUUUUCGAAGGUCAUAAAUCGAUUGCGAGAAAGCAAAUCUGGAUUACAAGCUAAAACUGAAGUACAGACAUCAACAAUAAGAGGGAGGAAAACGACGAAACAACAGAUACAUAAAAAAAUAACUCGAUUCUGCUACUUUGAAUAUGUCUGAAGGAUCAAAGAAAUCUGUAUUAAAAAUUGGCGCUAAUAUCAUAUCAAGCAAAAUUGUGUUCCCAAUAUUCUAUAUGCACCAAUUCUGUGAUACUUGCACCUACACUUUUCCCCUAUGUACAUCUGUAUACCCAUGCUUGGAUUUUUUUCAGAUUCAAUAAACAAAAUAUAUAAAAAAAAAUAUAAAUAUAUAAAAACGAAGUAAAUAACUCGAUUCUGCCUAUAUGAACAUGUCCUAAGGGUUAAAGAAAUCUGUAUUUAAAACGAAUAUUUUGUCGUAUUAAUCUACAUCUACUUUGUGUUUUUUUGUCUUCUCAUUUUAUUCCUUAUAGUAAUCAAUAUUUACUUUUUUUCAGGUGUACAUCACGAGCAGUGUAUGACGUGUGAUAAUAAUAUUAUGGUACAACGAUAUGUAUUAAUUUUUAUGAUGUUUGUGAUUUGGAUCGUUAGACCAUGUUUUUGGAUUAUAGACUUUCAUUUCAGUGUAAUUACACAAGAUUUUAUUCCUAGCAUGACUGUUUGUAUGGUUUAUAUUUAUUUACUUUGGGAUUUUGGAAUAUACCAAUUAAGGGACUUUUUAUGUAGGAUGUCAUAGAAUUUUGUUAAAGCCAUAAAAACAACAUUGUUUUUUUUUAUUUAUACAUUUUUACAUACAAGAAACAAAAGUAAAGAAAUCUU